RNAcentral lists this ribosomal RNA (504 nucleotides) under uncultured bacterium. RNAcentral's name for it is "partial 16S ribosomal RNA". It matches the Rfam family "Bacterial small subunit ribosomal RNA", at positions 28 to 523 of the family's 1533-position model. The record is from RNAcentral.
GAUGAACGCUAGCGGCAGGCUUAAUACAUGCAAGUCGAGGGGCAGCAGGACUGUAGCAAUACAGUUGCUGGCGACCGGCAAACGGGUGCGGAACACGUACGCAACCUUCCUUUAAGUGAGGGAUAGCCCAGGGAAACUUGGAUUAAUACCUCGUAAUAUUUAAGAGUGGCAUCACUCUUUAAUUAUAGCUCCGGCGCUUAAAGAUGGGCGUGCGACUGAUUAGGUAGUUGGCGGGGUAACGGCCCACCAAGCCUGCGAUCAGUAACUGGUGUGAGAGCACGACCAGUCACACGGGCACUGAGACACGGGCCCGACUCCUACGGGAGGCAGCAGUAAGGAAUAUUGGUCAAUGGACGCAAGUCUGAACCAGCCAUGCCGCGUGGAGGAUGAAGGUCCUCUGGAUUGUAAACUUCUUUUAUCUGGGAAGAAACCCAUAUUUUCUAGUGUGGUUGACGGUACCAGAUGAAUAAGCACCGGCUAACUCCGUGCCAGCAGCCGCCGUAA